GGGAAGGCAUUCGGACCGGUGUCCGGCCUGGUCUUCAAAACCAGUGGGGGCUACCCCGAAGGUAGUCUCGGCGUGUUCGACUCGCGUGUCUUCCCGCCA
RNAcentral lists this transfer RNA (99 nucleotides) under Deltaproteobacteria bacterium. RNAcentral's name for it is "tRNA-Sec". It matches the Rfam family "Selenocysteine transfer RNA". Lineage: Bacteria; Pseudomonadati; Myxococcota; Myxococcia. The record is from RNAcentral.